GAGUUUGAUCGUGGCUCAGAUUGAACGCUGGCGGCAUGCCUUACACAUGCAAGUCGAACGGCAGCAUGAUCUAGCUUGCUAGAUUGAUGGCGAGUGGCGAACGGGUGAGUAAUACAUCGGAACGUGCCCUGUAGUGGGGGAUAACUAGUCGAAAGAUUAGCUAAUACCGCAUACGACCUGAGGGUGAAAGUAGGGGACCGCAAGGCCUCAUGCUAUAGGAGCGGCCGAUGUCUGAUUAGCUAGUUGGUGGGUAAAGGCCCACCAAGGCGACGAUCAGUAGCUGGUCUGAGAGGACGAUCAGCCACACUGGGACUGAGACACGGCCCAGACUCCUACGGGAGGCAGCAGUGGGGAAUUUUGGACAAUGGGCGAAAGCCUGAUCCAGCAAUGCCGCGUGUGUGAAGAAGGCCUCGGUGUAAG
RNAcentral lists this ribosomal RNA (420 nucleotides) under uncultured microorganism. Its description in RNAcentral is "bacterial SSU rRNA". It matches the Rfam family "Bacterial small subunit ribosomal RNA", at positions 9 to 429 of the family's 1533-position model. The record is from RNAcentral.